AACACGUAGGGAGCGAGCGUUGUCCGGAUUCACUGGGCGUAAAGCGCGCGUAGGCGGCCGCGCAAGUCGGAUGUGAAAUCCCGGGGCUCAACCCCGCGAACCGCAUCCGAUACUGCGUGGCUUGAGGCAGGUAGGGGGAGGUGGAAUUCCCGGUGUAGCGGUGAAAUGCGCAGAUAUCGGGAGGAACACCGGUGGCGAAGGCGGCCUCCUGGGCCUGUCCUGACGCUGAGGCGCGAAAGCUAGGGGAGCGAACAGGAUUAGAUACCCUGGUAGUCCUAGCCGUAAACGUUGGGCGCUAGGUGUGGGCGGCGAUCGACCCCGUCCGUGCCGAAGCUAACGCAUUAAGCGCCCCGCCUGGGGAGUACGGCCGCAAGGCU
This 377-nucleotide ribosomal RNA is filed under the name uncultured Actinomycetes bacterium. RNAcentral describes it as "bacterial SSU rRNA". It matches the Rfam family "Bacterial small subunit ribosomal RNA", at positions 522 to 895 of the family's 1533-position model. Lineage: Bacteria; Bacillati; Actinomycetota; Actinomycetes. The record is from RNAcentral.